This 458-nucleotide ribosomal RNA is filed under the name uncultured bacterium. RNAcentral's name for it is "bacterial SSU rRNA". It matches the Rfam family "Bacterial small subunit ribosomal RNA", at positions 29 to 524 of the family's 1533-position model. The record is from RNAcentral.
AACGAACGCUGGCGGCAGGCUUAACACAUGCAAGUCGAACGCGAAAUCACCUUCGGGUGGUGGAGAGUGGCAGACGGUGAGUAACGCGUGGGAAUCUACCUGAUGGUACGGAAUAACUCAGGGAAACUUGAGCUAAUACCGUAUGUGCCCGAGAGGGGAAAGAUUUAUCGCCAUCAGAUGAGCCCGCGUCGGAUUAGCUAGUUGGUGGGGUAAAAGCCCACCAAGGCGACGAUCCGUAGCUGGUCUGAGAGGAUGAUCAGCCACACUGGGACUGAGACACGGCCCAGACUCCUACGGGAGCAGCAGUGGGGAAUAUUGGACAAUGGGCGCAAGCCUGAUCCAGCCAUGCCGCGUGAGUGAUGAAGGCCCUAGGGUUGUAAAGCUCUUUCGACGGGGACGAUAAUGACGGUACCCGUAGAAGAAGCCCCGGCUAACUUCGUGCCAGCAGCCGCGGUAAU